RNAcentral lists this ribosomal RNA (677 nucleotides) under uncultured organism. RNAcentral describes it as "bacterial SSU rRNA". It matches the Rfam family "Bacterial small subunit ribosomal RNA", at positions 1 to 663 of the family's 1533-position model. The record is from RNAcentral.
GGCUUAGAGUUUGAUCAUGGCUCAGGAUGAACGCUGGCGGCGUGCCUAACACAUGCAAGUCGAACGGAGAUUAACGCUGAAUUGAUAAUUAGCUUGCUAAGAGGAUUUUCUUGUUAAUCUUAGUGGCGGACGGGUGAGUAACACGUGAGCAACCUGCCUUUCAGAGGGGGAUAACGGCUGGAAACGGUCGCUAAUACCGCAUGACAUAUUCGGAUGGCAUCGUCUGAAUAUCAAAGGAGCAAUCCGCUGAAAGAUGGGCUCGCGUCUGAUUAGAUAGUUGGUGAGGUAACGGCUCACCAAGUCGACGAUCAGUAGCCGGACUGAGAGGUUGAACGGCCACAUUGGGACUGAGAUACGGCCCAGACUCCUACGGGAGGCAGCAGUGGGGAAUAUUGCACAAUGGGGGAAACCCUGAUGCAGCAACGCCGCGUGAAGGAAGACGGUUUUCGGAUUGUAAGCUUCUUUUCUUAGUGAAGAAGAAAGUGACGGUAGCUAAGGAAUAAGCAUCGGCUAACUACGUGCCAGCAGCCGCGGUAAUACGUAGGAUGCAAGCGUUAUCCGGAUUUACUGGGUGUAAAGGGAGCGCAGGCGGGACUGCAAGUUGGAUGUGAAAUGCCGGGGCUCAACCCCGGAGCUGCAUCCAAAACUGUAGUUCUUGAGUGGAGUAGAGGCAAGCG